GACGAACGCUGGCGGCGUGCUUAACACAUGCAAGUCGAACGAUGAAGAAGAGAAACGCGAACUUCGGUUCAAAUUUCACUUCGGAUUAGUGGCAGACGGGUGAGUAACGCGUGAGCAACCUACCUCUUACAAAGGGAUAGCCUCGGGAAACCGUGAUUAAUACCAUAUGACACAUUCAUAAGGCGUCUUAAGAAUGUUAAAGCUACGGCGGUAAGAGAUGGGCUCGCGUCCCAUUAGCUAGUUGGUGAGGUAACGGCCCACCAAGGCGACGAUGGGUAACCGGCCUGAGAGGGUGAACGGUCACAUUGGAACUGAGACACGGUCCAAACUCCUACGGGAGGCAGCAGUGGGGAAUAUUGCACAAUGGAGGGAACUCUGAUGCAGCGACGCCGCGUGAGCGAUGAAGGAAUUCGUUUCGUAAAGCUCUGUUCUAUGGGAAGAAAAGGACUGUACCAUAGGAGAAAGCCCCGGCUAAAUACGUG
RNAcentral lists this ribosomal RNA (482 nucleotides) under uncultured bacterium. Its description in RNAcentral is "partial 16S ribosomal RNA". It matches the Rfam family "Bacterial small subunit ribosomal RNA", at positions 28 to 507 of the family's 1533-position model. The record is from RNAcentral.